Molecule: ribosomal RNA, 492 nt
Filed under: uncultured bacterium
Lineage: Bacteria
Description: partial 16S ribosomal RNA
Rfam family: Bacterial small subunit ribosomal RNA
Source: RNAcentral
AGUGAACGCUGGCGGUAGGCCUAACACAUGCAAGUCGAACGGCAGCACAGUAAGAGCUUGCUCUUACGGGUGGCGAGUGGCGGACGGGUGAGGAAUACAUCGGAAUCUACUUUUUCGUGGGGGAUAACGUAGGGAAACUUACGCUAAUACCGCAUACGACCUACGGGUGAAAGCAGGGGAUCUUCGGACCUUGCGCGAUUGAAUGAGCCGAUGUCGGAUCAGCUAGUUGGCGGGGUAAAGGCCCACCAAGGCGACGAUCCGUAGCUGGUCUGAGAGGAUGAUCAGCCACACUGGAACUGAGACACGGUCCAGACUCCUACGGGAGGCAGCAGUGGGGAAUAUUGGACAAUGGGCGCAAGCCUGAUCCAGCCAUACCGCGUGGGUGAAGAAGGCCUUCGGGUUGUAAAGCCCUUUUGUUGGGAAAGAAAAGCAGCAGGUUAAUACCCCGCUGUUCUGACGGUACGCAAAGAAUAAGCACCGGCUAACUUCGUG